GGGAGUAAAAGUCGUAACAAGGUUUCCGUAGGUGAACCUGCGGAAGGAUCAUUAUUGUAUAACCGAGGUGCGAGGGCUGUCGCUGACUCGAAAGGUCGUGCACGCCCGAGUGCCCUCACACACAUCCAUCUCACCCCUAUGUGCACCACCGCGUGGGUCCCCCUUUGGCUUGUUCGGAGGGGGGCUUACGUUUUCACACAAACUUUGUAUGCAGUGUAGAAUGUAUUUUUUGUUUUUGCGAUCACGCAAUCAAUACAACUUUCAACAACGGAUCUCUUGGCUCUC
RNAcentral lists this unclassified non-coding RNA (285 nucleotides) under plant metagenome. RNAcentral describes it as "partial contains small subunit ribosomal RNA, internal transcribed spacer 1, and 5.8S ribosomal RNA". The stretch from base 1 to 54 matches the Rfam family "Eukaryotic small subunit ribosomal RNA", at positions 1778 to 1831 of the family's 1831-position model. The record is from RNAcentral.